AUGCCAGGAACUCAUAAUGACGUCAAUGUACUGCAGUGCUCCCCUGUCUUUACUAAGCUUGUUGAAGGUCAUGCUCCUCCGGUGAAUUUCGAGGUCAAUGGGCGCCACUACAACAAGGGAUACUACCUCGCAGAUGGCAUCUAUUUGAUAUGGUCCACAUUUUUGAAGACUAUCUCAAACCCUAUGCCAGGAGGCAAGAACUCCUACUUUGCCAAGUGUCAGGCGGCUUGCAGGAAGGAUGUCGAGUGGGCAUUUGGUGUGCUCCAAUCUCGAUAUGCUGUUGUCUGGUACCCCGCUCAGACCUGGUCGAAAGAUAAAUGUGGGAGGUCAUGA
This 333-nucleotide ribosomal RNA is filed under the name Triticum aestivum (bread wheat). Its description in RNAcentral is "partial small subunit ribosomal RNA". Lineage: Eukaryota; Viridiplantae; Streptophyta; Magnoliopsida; Poales; Poaceae. The record is from RNAcentral.